GGCUCGGUAGCUCAGGGGAAGAGCGGUGGCUUGUUAAGCCGAUGGUCGAAGGUUCGAACCCUUCCCGGGCCU
Molecule: transfer RNA, 72 nt
Filed under: Saprospiraceae bacterium
Lineage: Bacteria; Pseudomonadati; Bacteroidota; Saprospiria; Saprospirales; Saprospiraceae
Description: tRNA-Asn
Rfam family: tRNA
About the family: Transfer RNA (tRNA) molecules are approximately 80 nucleotides in length. Their secondary structure includes four short double-helical elements and three loops (D, anti-codon, and T loops). Further hydrogen bonds mediate the characteristic L-shaped molecular structure. tRNAs have two regions of fundamental functional importance: the anti-codon, which is responsible for specific mRNA codon recognition, and the 3' end, to which the tRNAs corresponding amino acid is attached (by aminoacyl-tRNA synthetases). tRNAs cope with the degeneracy of the genetic code in two manners: having more than one tRNA (with a specific anti-codon) for a particular amino acid; and 'wobble' base-pairing, i.e. permitting non-standard base-pairing at the 3rd anti-codon position.
Source: RNAcentral